AAAUUGUACUAGAGCCCAGGAAAAGUGACUUUUUCGUAAAUAAAAAGGUCCGAGAUGUAGGAUGUGGACUCAGACAUACUGUGUUCGUCCUGGACGACGGAACUGUGUACACAUGUGGAUGUAAUGAUCUAGGACAGCUAGGUCAUGAAAAGUCCAGAAAGAAACCAGGUAAAGGAGAUUUUCUGUUUCCAAUAAUUGACCAUUUUACUCCUGAAAUGGUGUUUUAUAUGACGUCUGUAAAUCCUAAACUUUCAGGCUUUUUCAAGAUUUAAUAGCAAAGUAAGAGUUAAACAUACUCUUGACUUUACCAUGCUUCUUAGGAAGUACAUUGGUUUGUGGAUUUUUCUGUUUGUUUGUUUUUAAUUACUACUGCUAGAAUGACCACUGAUUAUAUGUGGUUGAAAACAGUAACAAAAAACCCGUAGACUUCAGCGUUUGUAUAGAUUAUAAAGUUAUCGAGAUCUUUAAUAAGUUCAGCUCUCUUGAACAGAUUUUGAAUUCCUG
RNAcentral lists this long non-coding RNA (504 nucleotides) under Rattus norvegicus (Norway rat). RNAcentral describes it as "long non-coding RNA NONRATT017160". Lineage: Eukaryota; Metazoa; Chordata; Mammalia; Rodentia; Muridae. The record is from RNAcentral.